Molecule: ribosomal RNA, 776 nt
Filed under: uncultured Neocallimastigales
Lineage: Eukaryota; Fungi; Neocallimastigomycota; Neocallimastigomycetes; Neocallimastigales
Description: partial large subunit ribosomal RNA
Rfam family: Eukaryotic large subunit ribosomal RNA
Source: RNAcentral
AUAUCAGUCAUGCAUAGCAUAUCAAUAAGCGGAGGAAAAGAAACUAACAAGGAUUCCCUUAGUAACGGCGAGUGAAGCGGGAAGAGCUCAAAUUUGAAAUCUUCAAGGUUUUACCUUGACGAAUUGUAGUUUAAAGAAGUGUUUUCUGUUGAAGUUUUGGUAAAAGUUCUUUGGAAUAGGACAUCAUAGAGGGUGAGAAUCCCGUAUUUGACCAUUACUUUCAGCUUUGUGAUACACUUUCAAAGAGUCGGAUUGUUUGGGAAUGCAGUCCAAAAUGGGUGGUAAAUUUCAUCUAAAGCUAAAUAUUGGCGAGAGACCGAUAGCGAACAAGUACCGUGAGGGAAAGAUGAAAAGAACUUUGAAAAGAGAGUUAAACAGUACGUGAAACCUGUCAAAAGGGAAGCGUUUGACACCAGUGUUGUUUUCUCGAAAAUCAAUUAAAAAGAGUUGGAUUUUGUGUUGUAUUGACUUUAUCAGCUUUCUUCACUCUUUUCCAGCUUUUUUUAAUGCACUUUUCGUUUAACAAGUCAACAUCAGUUUCUUUUGUUGUAGAAAAGGUCAUUGGAAGGUGGCUUUCUCUUCGGAGAAAGUGUUUAUAGCCUUUGACUCAUGCAAUCGGAGAGACUGAGGUCUGCAGCGUAGAUCCUUCGGGGUUAGAUACAUUUGUGCUAAGUUAUAGCUUUUCAUAGACAACUUGUUGACUAUGUUUAGUCUUGUAGCUUACUCGCUUAUGCUAUUUUACCUACGCUUAGGAUGUUGAACUCUAUCACACACAG